This 666-nucleotide long non-coding RNA is filed under the name Serinus canaria (Common canary). RNAcentral's name for it is "lncRNA (ENSSCAG00000011743.1)". The record is from RNAcentral. Lineage: Eukaryota; Metazoa; Chordata; Aves; Passeriformes; Fringillidae.
AGCAGUUCGAGGCCCCCCUCAGCAGGAGGACGGAAUCCUGGAGGAAAAACCGAACCCCUUUUUCUGCUUUCUUCUGCUUUUUCCCUUUUUUCACCUCAGGGCCGCGGAGCGCAGCGCCGCGCUUUGAAUAAUUUCCGACCGAAGGAGAUAAAAGGUGAAGAUUGGACCCAAAAAACAGGAAAUGAGAGGCCGGGGGGUGAAGAUCUUCCUGCCAGCACCCGCUCUGAGCCCCGGGGCCGCCGAGGCUCCGUGAUCCCGGGAUGGGCUCCGGGGCCUGGCUCCGGCUGCUCCUCACCCUCGCAGCUCUUUGGGGGAUCGGAGCCCAGGAAAGGCUGCUGGGAAUUCUGGGCGAGGCGACGUUCCUGCGGCUCCCCCGCCAGCUCCGGGAGCUCACCCAGCAAUUCGGGGAAGCCUCCUGGAAAAAAAUCACCCAGGAGCCGCUGAGGAAGAAAUUCCUGCUGAAGAUUUCGGGCGGGAACCAGACGGAGUACGAGCCGGGGCGGAUGCGCUUCCACAGGGAGGACUUUUCCCUGGAAAUCCUCAACACCAGCCGGGAUGACGGGCGGCUCUACGAGUACAGCGUCAGCAAGGGCGAGGAGGAGGAGGUCUGGCAGGUCCAGCUGGAGGUGUUCGAGCCCGUGGCCCAUCCCAGCAUCCGGAUCCUCC